CCAGUAAUUUAGUUAAGAUGAACUGUGGACUGUUUGCUAGCUAACUGGCUCCUCUGCGUGUUACUGUUAGCUGUUAGCUGUUAGCGGUCAGCCAGGUGUGUGUGUGUUUUGUUUUCCACUGUGGCGCGAGCUAGCUUGAUUAGCCGAGCUGCCGCCGCUGUGGGAGAGACUGCCGCCGUCUUCAGGCGCGCGGACGCGGGGAAAGUUUGCGCGGUCUUCGCGGUGGAUUUGCUCGACGCUGAGGACGACCUGCUGUCAGACACGGUGUGACCCCUGCUGUGUGGUUCCCGCUGCUGCGGGCUGAGGUUUCCCUUUCUGUCCACUGUAACUCCUGCGGGUGGGUCAUAUUAUGUCUACACAGCUCAUGUGUGCUCAAAACCUGCAAACAGUCGGCUGCCGGGAGUCUCUGCUGGCGUUUCCCUAAAGGAAGUGCACUGCCCUGCCCAGGCCGCUCUCCUCUGGCUCUCCUCUGGCCACGAGGCCUUGUGUGCUUCCCCCGAAACCCCAGCUGCCUCUCCGCUCUCUGGACUGUGCUGCAGAGAAAAGGCCCUCAGAGCUCCAGGCCUCCAGACGGCUCUCCUGGAGUUUUUAUUGCACAUGGUGAGAGCGAAGGGAUGAAACUACAACAAAAGAAUCUCACUAAAUUGAAAAGAGAAAACUGAAUCCACACACAAGAAGAAACAAGAAGAGAAUUUUUUUUUACAAACUCUGGAAACCUUUUAUGAAUCACUUCAUUAUCUGACAAGAGUUAAGGUCCAGCAAAUAUCACUCUUCUGAAUUUAAAUGAUAAUUUUUCAUUUUGGAGGGAUACGUAUGUUAUAAUUGGUACUGAUUAAGUUGUUGUCAGGUACAGAUGAGGGUCGAUACACACAGCUGGAAAAGCAUGUGGUGUUAUUCACCUCCUGGAACAAUGGAUCAAUUCUGAAAUACAGGACAGGAAAACUGAACAUACACCUGAUGGAACAUAUUGGGACUCUGCAAAUGAGUAAUGUCAUAUUUUAUGGUGAACAAGUUUGUUGUUUGUUUUAGUUGUUUCUUUGUGUCUGUUGUGGCUGUGUGUUUGUAGGUUGGAAGAUGCUGCUGUACUUGAACAAAAACAAUAAAUACACUUUAUAAAAAAUGACAGCAAAAGUCCAUUAAGCCAUAUACAAUUACCUUUAGUCAAAAUGUAAAAUUUACAGUCAAGACGAACCAAGUUGUGUUCAUAAUGAGCUUUUUAUUUAAAAGCACAUGUAUUAGAGCUAAGUACAUUUAGCAGAAAAAACAGCUUUGCUACUAUUUCUUUUGUACAAAAAAACAAGACAAUACAAAAAUACUAAUAUUGAAUUUUAAUACAGUUGUGGAUGUAUUUUUUGAAUGCAUUACAAACAUAACUAUUACAAUCUACAAUAGUUUAGUUGUCUAAAUACAAAAAUCUGUCAAUCGAUGCUUUUUAAGCAGCAUUUUGUAAAGAACACAGGUCUGUAAUCAUAGUGGAUAUAUCUAAACAUGUUAAUUUUAGUGAUCUAUACAUUAUUUAUAUAUUUAUAAAAAAAGAGUGAAAACGGCUUUGUGAAAUGAUAGGACGGACUAUACGAUGAGAAAGAUGUGCAACAUGGCGGAGUGUGUUGUUGGAGGAGGAUGUCUGAGUCGGCUGUAAAUAAAAAGGGCUUCUGUGUCUGUACAACUGUUAGUGAUUAUACAGGACAGGCUAUAAACACAAGGUUAAAGAUGCUUCUCAGCAGAGAAUAAAAAUACUAGAUCCACAGUUUUUAUAACGUUCACCUGCUCUCUGACACACACAGGCACACACACACACACACACACAGGCACACACACACACACACACAGGCACACACACACAGGCGCACGCACACACACACUUACUUGGCACAGCUGACUGUGUGUGUUUCAUUUGACACACGUAGUUUAUCAAGGGGGGGGGGUUGUUUUCACAGGGCACAGCGCUCACACAUAUGUACACACACAUUCACACGCACAAGGUGUACAUGUACAAGCACAAGCGUACCCACACAAGCACAAGAGUGUACAGCACACACACACACACACACACACACACACACAUUGAGAGAUAAACAU
Seriola aureovittata is the source of this 2079-nucleotide long non-coding RNA. RefSeq lists it as uncharacterized. The record is from RefSeq and is a predicted model, not a curated record. Lineage: Eukaryota; Metazoa; Chordata; Actinopteri; Carangiformes; Carangidae. The transcript is spliced from 3 exons.